Molecule: non-coding RNA, 45 nt
Organism: Schistosoma rodhaini
Lineage: Eukaryota; Metazoa; Platyhelminthes; Trematoda; Strigeidida; Schistosomatidae
Source: Rfam
AUCCAGCUGACGAAACUUUAAUCGGACGAAACGCGCGUCCUGGAU